GAGCCGGACGCAGGCGUGCCUGCGCAGUGCGCGGAGGAGUGCUGUUCGUGUGUUCGAGUCCCUGGGUUGCUUCCUGGGGUCUGUGGUGCUGGGUGUGCUAUCUGCGUGUGAUUCUCUAGCGAGAGAUUGUGGGCGAGUGACCGAGUGGGCAAGGGGCCGUCACUGUGUGUGCGUGAUUUUGACAGUGUGUGGUGGUAGCUUCUGACUCCGCGUGGGUCGUUGAAUGUAUGACUGGGACCGUUUAGCGGUGGAUACACAACUGUGUGCGGCUGUGGAAGAUUGCCUCAUCCGUUACGUUCCCAUUUCCGUGGAACAACAGUUUUACCAGAAGGUUUCGAAGGAACCUUAAAGUUUGGAAGCGUAAGAGUUUAUCUGGUAACUAAUUUUAAACAUUACAUCUAUGGUGAGUUAAAUGUGGGUUAUGAAGGAGAACGCAAAAUAAAAACGUUAUAAAGAUGUAAAGGAGUUUUAUGGGGCGGCAUCUCUUGGGCAAAUAUCAGACCGCCGUAGGUAGUUGUUAAUUCUCUCUUGUUUUUAGGCGGCUUUGGUGUCAUCAAAUGUGAGAAGCCCUGGACUUUACACAUCCCGAGCCAGUGUGAUCCAGUAUGAUUGGGAGUCCGAGUGCCAGAUGCCGGUCAGGACCUGUUAUGCUGGGUCUCAGAAUGCGGAAACUCUCCCUGUCCGAGGUGGAACAGUUUGUCCUUGAGUGAGGACUGGAGUCCUGAGUGACUCUUUUGAUUUGAUCCUGUUUCCCUCAAACCUGGUGAGCUCUAUGGUGUAAUAAAUGGUUAAGAGUGUGAACCCUUAACCAUCUCUAAGACUGGAGCCAGAAUGCCUGAACUCCAGUCUUAGAGAUGUGCCUCGGUCUCCACAUUUGAAAGUGAGGAUGAUUGUGGCAUCUAAUUCAUUGAGUUGUUGGGGAGGAGUAACUGAUAUGUAAAAUAAUGCUACUGCUGCUGGAUAAGGAUGCUAAUAUGACUGAAGCUAAUGCUUUCUUUCUGCAAAGAUGCUUUUUCCAAAACACACCAUAUUGCCUCUUUACACAUUCUUCAGGAGAGGGUAGAGGCUGCAUUUUCCUUGUAGGUGCGGUGAUGUGGUGGAAAGCACACUUUUAGAAUUAGACAGAUGUGGAUUCAAAUAGCAUUUCAGCCAUUUAUUAGUUUCUUCGUGCCUAUCUCGGUUUUGUUUUGUUUUUUUUUUUUUGUCCAUAAAAGGAAGAAUGUAAUGCUGGGCUUGCAGCUUUGUCCUGAGGGUCAAAUAAAAUGAUUUAAUAAUAUAAGCAAAGCUCAGAGGUUGGUUAUUGCUGAUUACUGAUAUUAAAAGACAACUUCAGCAAGGAUGGUUGAAUUUCACACUUGUGAGCGGACAGUUGAGGAGACAGUUGUAGAUUUAUCCUACUUGACCUUAUUUGUGGUUCAAGACAGUGUUGCGAGUUCAAGAGGAGAGGGUAGAUGCAAAAAGUCAUCAUCUUUCCUAUGUUCUCUGAUCUUGGGAAGGGGCGAGUGGCUCUAGUUUCCCUUUAACAUCCCACUGUGUUGAGUGUGUCUAUAUGUACAUGCGUCAGUAUUUGCUUAUGGAGGAAAGGAAGGAAAAAGACCAAACAGGUACAAAGCCAGCCAUCUCUCAGGCUAACUUUCUUCUAUACCAUUUUUACUUUCUCACAUUCAUUAAUCUGCCAAAGAGAAAUUUAGAGGAUGAUGAAAUGGCCACUUCUGACUCUGAACCAAGCCUCUGAAGUCAUACACCAUUAUACUCUUGGUCACAAAAUCAGCUGUGAGUCUAAGUAGGUGGAGGCUACACAAGAGUAUAAGUACUAGGAGGCAGGGAUCAUUCAGGGUCGUCUUAGAGGGUGGCUUCCAGUUUCUUCCUUUUAAGAGUAUGAGAAUGCUCUGAGCUAGCCUCUCCAUUCCAUGGAAUCCAUAGGUCUUUUGUCAGCCACUUCCCAGUACACAUUCCUGUGCCAAAGCACAUGCAGAGUUUGUAGGGUCCAGCCCCACAGGGUCGGUUGGUUUCUCCCCGUGUGCGGAGACGAGAGAUUGUAGAAAUAAAGACGCAAGACAGAGAUAAAAGAAAAGACAGCUGGGCCCAGGGGACCACUACCACCAAGACGCGGAGACUGGUAGUGGCCCCGAAUGCCAGGCUGCGCUGAUAUUUAUUGGAUACAAGACAAAGGGGCAGGAUAAGGAGUGUGAGCCAUCUCCAAUGAUAGGUAAGGCCACAUGGGUCACAUGUCCACUGGACAGGGGGCCCUUUCCUGCCUGGCAGCCGAGGCAGAGAGAGAGAGGAGAAAGAGAGAGAGAGCUUACACCAUUAUUUCUACUUAUUAGAGACUUAGUACUUUCACUGGUUUGCUACUGCUAACUAAACGGCAGAGCCAGGUGUACAGGAUGGAACAUGAAGGUGGACUAGGAGCGUGACCACUGAAGCACAGCAUCACAGGGAGACGGUUAGGCCUCCGGAUAACUGCAGGUGGGCCUGAGGCCCUCCACAAGUGGUGGAGGAGUAGAGUCUUCUCUAAACUCCCCCGGGGAAAGGGAGACUCCCUUUCCCGGUCCGCUACGUAGCAGGUGUUUUUCCUUGACACUAACACUACUGCUAGACCACGGUCCGCUUGGCAACGGGCAUCUUCCCAGAUGCUGGCAUCACCGCUAGACCAAGGAGCCCUCUGGUGGCCCUGUCUGGGCAUAACAGAAGGCUCGCACUCUUGUCUUCUGGUCACUUCUCACUAUGUCUCCUCAGCUCCUAUCUCUAUAUGGCCUGGCUUUUCCCAGGUUAUGAUUAUAGAGUGAGGAUUAUUAUAAUUUGGAAUAAAGAGUAAUUGCUACCAACUAAUGAUUAAUGAUAUUCAUAUAUAAUCAUAUCUAAGAUCUAUAUCUGGUAUAACUAUUCUUGUUUUAUAUUUUAUUAUACUGGAACAGCUCGUGUCCUCGGUCUCUUGCCUUGGCACCUGGGUGGCUUGCCGCCCACAGAGUUACUCCAGCAGCUCCCUCUCCUGUUAUCCCCAGCCAUAUCCGUGCUUCUGCCAGAUUCCUUCUGUUUCAGGAUCACCCAUUAUCACUUGAAUGAGAUCAACUGUGGGGAGGUGGGCCAUAUUCUGUUGUGCAUAGUAAUCCAAGCAAGGAAUCACACAACAAAGUGGGUUCUAACCCAAUCUUAGCUACUUACUCCCUGAGUGACCUUGGGCACCUCCCCCAAUUUUUCUGACCUAAAAUCUGUGCAUUAUAAUAAUAAUAAAUUUCCACGGAGGAAGUAUAACCUUUUCAACAAACAGUGCUGGAGCAACUGGACAUCCAUAGCCAAAAAAGAAAAAGGAUAAAAGGCUUUUCUGCAGUACUAAUCCAGGAGAAAAAUAAAUGUAUUGCAUCUUCCUUGUGACAACUGAGGACAAAAUACAUGUGGCCUCUCUCUGAGGACUUUUUUUUUUAAGAGACAAGGUCUCACUCUGUCACCCAAGCUGGUGUGCAGUGGUGUUCCUGGACUGAACUGAAGGUCAGGCUGCUUAUUCUCGCAGCCCUAUAACAAGAUGCUGAUGAACUGUGAAAGAAGAGAGUUUUAUUUCUGUAACCGGGUACAGGGAGAGGGCCAGAAAAAUAUUGCCAGACCAACUCAAAAUUACAAAGUUUUCCAGUGCUUAUCUACCUUCUAAGCUAUAUGUCUACAUGUUAGUGUGCAUUCAUCUAAAGACACAAGUGAUUAAUUUCUUCUAAUCUAUAACUAAGGUCUGAGUUAUAGACCUUGGGGACAUUCCUCUGGAGCCUCAGUGAUUUUACUUACUCUAGAUGGGUCCAAGUGCCAAAGGUAAUUACCUUAUCUUGUCUCCUACUAAGUUAUGGAGGUCUGGAGAGUUCCUUUAGACCCCCAAUAAAACUUGUUUAAUCCUAAAUGGAUCCUGGUAUGAGGAGUGUGACCAUUCCUUCAUUAUUUUGUCAUGCUUCAAAUCAUCAGCCUUUGUGUUAGGGCGCUGGCUCUCUCAGCCUUUAAUAUUUAACCUAACCAUUUAGUCAAUGCUAGAACAGUUCUUAUGGAGGCCUGCCUGUUCAGUUUUUGUGAGAUCUGGCUUGCCACAGUGGCACAAACGGCUUACUGCAGCCUCAACUUCCUGGGCUUAAGCGAUCCUCCUACCUCAGCCUCCCAAGUAGCUGAGAACACAGGUGCGUACCACCACACCAGCUAAUUUUUCUUUUCUUUUUUUUUUUCUGUAGAGAUGGGAGCCUCACUGUAUUGCCCAGGCUGGUCUUGAACUCCGGAGCUCAAGUGAUCGUCUUGCUUCAGCCUUGCAAAAUGAUGGUGAAGCUGCAUCAUUGUCUGGGGUAAAUACCUGAGGUUCGUUGUCUCACGCCAAGGGAAUCAAGGACGUGGACACACAAGAAGUGAGUUUAAGAGCGGAGGUUUAAUAGGCGAAAGAGAAAAGAGAAUAGCUCUAGCUCCUGCAGAGAGAAAAGGGCUCCCAAGUAGGACUUCCAGUCCGUGGCGAAGGGCACGGGGUUUAUAGACUGGCUUCAGGAGGUGGUGUCUGAUUUACGUAGGCCCCAAAGAUUGGUUGGACCAGGUGUGCCAAUCAGAAGCUGGCUGCCCCACCCUAAUCUUUUAUUAUGCAGAUGGAGUCCCUGUCUGACCGGGCCAUGUUGUAUGUUCCUUGCUGUACACGUGGUUGACAAAGAAAAGGGAAGAUGGAGCUGCGAUGUUGGACAUGCCUGGCCCCCAGGUAGCUUUUUC
Molecule: long non-coding RNA, 4716 nt
Filed under: Homo sapiens (human)
Lineage: Eukaryota; Metazoa; Chordata; Mammalia; Primates; Hominidae
Description: non-protein coding ZNF582-AS1:39
Source: RNAcentral